RNAcentral lists this ribosomal RNA (1483 nucleotides) under Helicobacter pylori SA29A. Its description in RNAcentral is "bacterial SSU rRNA". It matches the Rfam family "Bacterial small subunit ribosomal RNA". Lineage: Bacteria; Pseudomonadati; Campylobacterota; Epsilonproteobacteria; Campylobacterales; Helicobacteraceae. The record is from RNAcentral.
AGAGUUUGAUCCUGGCUCAGAGUGAACGCUGGCGGCGUGCCUAAUACAUGCAAGUCGAACGAUGAAAUUUCUAGCUUGCUAGAAGUGGAUUAGUGGCGCACGGGUGAGUAACGCAUAGGUUAUGUGCCUCUUAGUUUGGGAUAGCCAUUGGAAACGAUGAUUAAUACCAGAUACUCCCUACGGGGGAAAGAUUUAUCGCUAAGAGAUCAGCCUAUGUCCUAUCAGCUUGUUGGUAAGGUAAUGGCUUACCAAGGCUAUGACGGGUAUCCGGCCUGAGAGGGUGAACGGACACACUGGAACUGAGACACGGUCCAGACUCCUACGGGAGGCAGCAGUAGGGAAUAUUGCUCAAUGGGGGAAACCCUGAAGCAGCAACGCCGCGUGGAGGAUGAAGGUUUUAGGAUUGUAAACUCCUUUUGUUAGAGAAGAUAAUGACGGUAUCUAACGAAUAAGCACCGGCUAACUCCGUGCCAGCAGCCGCGGUAAUACGGAGGGUGCAAGCGUUACUCGGAAUCACUGGGCGUAAAGAGCGCGUAGGCGGGAUAGUCAGUCAGGUGUGAAAUCCUAUGGCUUAACCAUAGAACUGCAUUUGAAACUACUAUUCUAGAGUGUGGGAGAGGUAGGUGGAAUUCUUGGUGUAGGGGUAAAAUCCGUAGAGAUCAAGAGGAAUACUCAUUGCGAAGGCGACCUGCUGGAACAUUACUGACGCUGAUUGCGCGAAAGCGUGGGGAGCAAACAGGAUUAGAUACCCUGGUAGUCCACGCCCUAAACGAUGGAUGCUAGUUGUUGGAGGGCUUAGUCUCUCCAGUAAUGCAGCUAACGCAUUAAGCAUCCCGCCUGGGGAGUACGGUCGCAAGAUUAAAACUCAAAGGAAUAGACGGGGACCCGCACAAGCGGUGGAGCAUGUGGUUUAAUUCGAAGAUACACGAAGAACCUUACCUAGGCUUGACAUUGAGAGAAUCCGCUAGAAAUAGUGGAGUGUCUAGCUUGCUAGACCUUGAAAACAGGUGCUGCACGGCUGUCGUCAGCUCGUGUCGUGAGAUGUUGGGUUAAGUCCCGCAACGAGCGCAACCCCCUUUCUUAGUUGCUAACAGGUCAUGCUGAGAACUCUAAGGAUACUGCCUCCGUAAGGAGGAGGAAGGUGGGGACGACGUCAAGUCAUCAUGGCCCUUACGCCUAGGGCUACACACGUGCUACAAUGGGGUGCACAAAGAGAAGCAAUACUGCGAAGUGGAGCCAAUCUUCAAAACACCUCUCAGUUCGGAUUGUAGGCUGCAACUCGCCUGCAUGAAGCUGGAAUCGCUAGUAAUCGCAAAUCAGCCAUGUUGCGGUGAAUACGUUCCCGGGUCUUGUACUCACCGCCCGUCACACCAUGGGAGUUGUGUUUGCCUUAAGUCAGGAUGCUAAACCAGCUACUGCCCACGGCACACACAGCGACUGGGGUGAAGUCGUAACAAGGUAACCGUAGGUGAACCUGCGGUUG